Hypoxylon sp. FL1857 is the source of this 100-nucleotide non-coding RNA. Lineage: Eukaryota; Fungi; Ascomycota; Sordariomycetes; Xylariales; Hypoxylaceae. The record is from the annotation of a GenBank genome assembly.
GGUUUUCUAGUGUAAUGGUUAUCACUGCGGAUUCUGAUUCUAGAUCGUGAAGAUCUGGCUCUGCAUUCCGCCAAUCUGGGUUCGAUUCCCAGGAAAACCU